This is a small nuclear RNA of Equus asinus (donkey), 102 nucleotides long. Lineage: Eukaryota; Metazoa; Chordata; Mammalia; Perissodactyla; Equidae. The record is from Ensembl.
ACUCACUUCAGUAGUACAUGCUGCAGUUGGAACCAUAUAGAGAAGAUUUGCAUGGCACUUGGGCAAAAUGACAUGCAAAUUUGUGAAGUGUUACAUAUUUUU